CGAUCUUCAAGUGCUAUAUGUUAAUUAAACUUCACAACAUAUAUGUAUGACAUCCCUAAACAAAUUAUGAGCUAAACAAGUGUAAGACGAGCUGUAUUUACUAAUAAAAGUCCUGUUCAGAUUCUAUGUUUUCGUGGCUCCUUUGAAAACUUGUUUAGUUUACUCGAUCAGUCGCAGUGCCGGAACUUGGAAACCAUCUUCUUCCAUAUAUAAUUACAUUUUCUUCUUCUUUUCCCUUCAUAUCUUUUUAAUUAAAAUUUUACAACUCUUGCAAUGGCGACUGAUCACCAAAAUGGUGGAUCUGAUCUUAAUGCACCCUUCCUUGAUGAUCAAAGCCAAACCCAAUCACUGGAUUUAGGAGAUCACAUUGUUGCUCAAACCAAAGAGGUCACCUCUUCUUUCAACACAUGUUUUAAUGGACUCAAUGCUUUAUCAGCAAACAAAGAAACCAAGACGUUGAAUGCGAAAUGAAAGGAAAAAGUGAUCGAGGAGUAGCUCGAGAAAAUAUCGGCUAGGUAAAGUUGAAGUUCAGUUCAGCAUCCGAGUCAAUCCCGACCUCAGCUUAAUUUCUGGUGAUGAAUCUAUCUUUUGGAAAUACGGCAUAUAUUAGGUUUUGUUUUAGUCACUUAAAUAUAUUUUAUGUUUUGGAUGUAAGGUAAUUUGUAAUUUUUAAGAAGUAUUUGAAAUGAAUAAAUGAAUGUUAUUUGAUCAAGAUUUAUAAGUCAA
Long non-coding RNA from Gossypium arboreum, 726 nucleotides. RefSeq lists it as uncharacterized. Lineage: Eukaryota; Viridiplantae; Streptophyta; Magnoliopsida; Malvales; Malvaceae. The record is from RefSeq and is a predicted model, not a curated record. The transcript is spliced from 3 exons.